Odocoileus virginianus texanus is the source of this 1739-nucleotide non-coding RNA. Lineage: Eukaryota; Metazoa; Chordata; Mammalia; Artiodactyla; Cervidae. The record is from RefSeq and is a predicted model, not a curated record.
CCUGACAGGCUUCACUAUCGCCCACAGAGAUCAUCGCUGUGCUCAGGCGGUUGUGUCGAUCCAACUGGAAACAGAAGCCGAAACCAUGGCGGAGAAGACUCAAAAGAGUGUGAAGAUCGCACCUGGAGCAGUUGUGUGUGUAGAGAGCGAAAUCAGAGGUGAUGUCACUAUAGAUUUGAAAGAGCAGGUCCUGUUCUUGCAGAAGCUUCCCUAGAAGAGCAGUAAAGGCUUUAUCCUGUGAAAAGAAGAGCUGGACCGAUGCUAAAUCAAGUAUUUGGUUUAUCAAAGAAACUCGUCUGAAGCUUUGAAGUGCAGUCCUUAACCAGAAACCCUAUGUCUGUGGCCCUGCUGGAACCUGACCCCUUUCAUUAGAGUCUGCUAGGAAACAGACCUUGGGAAAAAUAACAGUUCUCUCCUUAAUUAUAAUUUGGGUAAAUAAGGUUUCAUCUUAUUUACUAUCAAGCCUGCUUUUUUUUUUUUUUAACCCCUCUUUUAAUUAGACUGCCUUGAUUUAUGCCUUUUGCAUUAUUUUCUGAAAAUUUUGUUUUAAAAGCUGAAACACAUUUUAGAAAAGUACAUCUGUGCACAGUCAUGUAGUCCUAUUACAGCGUGAAGGCGGACUCCUGGGGUUAGGACAACACCUGGGGACUCAUGGUGUGAAGGCAGAACUCCUACAGUGACGGAGCUUUGUCAUGGAAGCACUUUGUCCCACUUUGUUGUUCUUUCCAUUAGAGUUUUUAAUACUGAUCAGAAGCUUCCCUUUUAUUGUGGAAAUUUUUUUAAAUUGAGGUAACAUUGGUUUAUAAUAUUACAUAAGUUUCAUAUGUACAACAUUAUAUGGAAAUUUUUUUCAAUAAGGCAAAACAGUGACUUUGACUUGAGAAAUUAAUCAAAUAUAAAACAGUUGUUAAAAGUACUUCAUCUUAUAGGUCAAAGGAAUUGUUUUCAUUUUCAAGAGACCUUGUGGCUUUUGGAACUAUUUAUUGACAUAUGAAAAUGUCCACAAAGAUUGCUUUCUGUGGCAAAGAUAGACAGGAAAAAUACCCUUUACUAGCUGAAGGGAAUGGAAAUAUGAUGCAAGGAAUGUCUUUCUGGCUAGGUUGCGUCAAGCCCAGCCAACCAUUUAGAAAAAUAAUUCAUCAGCCAGUAAGGCAGCUCCAACUCUAGACACAUUUAUCCAAACAAGGAGAUAAGCCAAAUAGGGUUUCAGCACAUUUGGUAAGAAAAUACACAAACUACCCUGCCAGAAAGGGCUCCAAGAAAGUUCACGACAGCCUUUUAACAGAAACUUUCGAUGGUGACAGAUUUUUAUUUUUAAAGCAUUUUAACCCCAAGGCCCUUCAGCUUGGUUUGAAUUCAGACCCAUCCUAGGUGAAAGUGCCACUUGCAUGCAGAGAAGUCUGGAGCAGACUGUGCUCACAUCUCAGCAUGCGGUUGCUGCCCGCGUCUUGCACUAGUGCUGGGCUAUCAGGCUUUCUGGUGCCAGCCUCCAGUGCUGUGCAGAGACAAAGCACUUGGUCAGGCGUCUCCUUUAAGAAGUUCACCAAACUUCAGUCUUAGCAGUCACGUAUACUGCGGUUCAUGUUUAAAAACUAACCUCUCUAGUCUCUGCCCCAAAAAGCCCUGCAAGAGGUUAAGGGGAGCUGUUUGGUUUGUCGCCCAUGACCUUGCUGUUACUUCACAAUUCAGAGGAGAUCACAUUGCCAACAGUCAAUGGCUCAUGGAGAAAGCAAGGGAGU